UACACGCUGUGACUAGCAUAUCAAUAAGCGGAGGAAAAGAAACUAACAAGGAUUCCCCUAGUAACGGCGAGUGAAGCGGGAAGAGCUCAAAUUUGAAAUCUUAAAGGGUUUCCCUUUACGAAUUGUAGUUUAAAGAAGUGUUUUCUGUUGAGGUUUUGGUAAAAGUUCUUUGGAAUAGGACAUCAUAGAGGGUGAGAAUCCCGUAUUUGACCUUUACUUUCAACUUUGUGAUACACUUUCAAAGAGUCGGAUUGUUUGGGAAUGCAGAUCCAAAAUGGGUGGUAAAUUUCAUCUAAAGCUAAAUAUUGGCGAGAGACCGAUAGCGAACAAGUACCGUGAGGGAAAGAUGAAAAGAACUUUGAAAAGAGAGUUAAACAGUACGUGAAAUUGUCAAAAGGGAAGCGUUUGACACCAGUGUUGUUUUUCUGAAAAUCAAUUAAAGAACUGUUUAUGCUAAGUUGUUUAGACUUUAUCAGCUAACUGUUUAGUUUUGAGCUUUUCUUUAAUGCACUUUUCAGUUAACAAGUCAACAUCAAUUUCUUUUGCUGUAAAAAAGCUUGAGGAAGGUGGCUUGAGAUUCGUCUUAAGUGUUUAUAGCCUCUUGCCUAUGCAGUCGGAGAGAUUGAGGUCUGCAGCGUAGAUCCUUCGGGGCUAAAUGCAUUUGUGCUAAGUUAUAGCAUUUUAUAGACAACUUGUUGACUAUGAUUUGUCUUGUAGCUUACUCGCUUAUGUUAUUUUACCUACGCUUAGGAUGUUGACAGCAGUAUAGACUGU
RNAcentral lists this ribosomal RNA (774 nucleotides) under uncultured Neocallimastigales. RNAcentral's name for it is "partial large subunit ribosomal RNA". It matches the Rfam family "Eukaryotic large subunit ribosomal RNA", at positions 22 to 637 of the family's 3401-position model. Lineage: Eukaryota; Fungi; Neocallimastigomycota; Neocallimastigomycetes; Neocallimastigales. The record is from RNAcentral.